CAUCUCAACGACGUGCCCGCGGGAGUGGGUGCUUCGCGCCGCGGCGCCCUCAACAACGACGACGUUCCCUACGGUAGCGGUACCGGCUUGCGCUGCCCCGACUCGUGGCCGCGAUAAUGCUGUCCCCCGGUACCAGACGCUCGAGUGUCCGGUCCCGCCGGUACCGAUGCUCGAGCUCUUAAAAACGAUGCCGGCCACCUUAAAAAACGACGCUGACCGUUUAAUUCCUACUCCUUGUUGUGCUCGAGAUGUUGCCCACGACGCCGGCCACUGCACUCCGAGGCGCUCGGCGCCCCC
RNAcentral lists this ribosomal RNA (297 nucleotides) under Triticum aestivum (bread wheat). Its description in RNAcentral is "partial small subunit ribosomal RNA". The record is from RNAcentral. Lineage: Eukaryota; Viridiplantae; Streptophyta; Magnoliopsida; Poales; Poaceae.